UGCUAACUGGCCUGUGGCUCUCCCGCACUGUCUGCAUUCACCAUCCUCCGUUAGCUGGUGCCGGCCUGUCUGUCCCAGUUCUUCACAGGCCACAUGCCACUCCAAGCUCACCAGACUACUGGGGGUUUCCCAGACACAAGCCUUAGGUGAAUUCUUUCACUGCCUGCACACUGGCCCAAUCCAAUCAGAAUGCACCACAAAAGGGAGGCCAGAAGGAGAGAUAAAAAGCCUGUUCUAGGCUGAGCAAGCAGCCGGUGCAUAGGCACAGAGGAAAGGUGAUCACAUUUAAUAUAUAAGAUGAAUGACUGGCUUCACCAUGAAAAGAAGUUUACAUCACUAUCUCCUUUGUAUUUCCCUUCGUGACUUUAAGAAACACUGAACAAGUCUGCACCUUAGUAAGAAGACUAGAAAAUCUGGAGAAA
Molecule: long non-coding RNA, 422 nt
Filed under: Vulpes vulpes (red fox)
Lineage: Eukaryota; Metazoa; Chordata; Mammalia; Carnivora; Canidae
Description: lncRNA (ENSVVUG00000026498.1)
Source: RNAcentral